Molecule: ribosomal RNA, 301 nt
Filed under: uncultured bacterium
Lineage: Bacteria
Description: partial 16S ribosomal RNA
Rfam family: Bacterial small subunit ribosomal RNA
Source: RNAcentral
CAGUCGCCGCGGUAAUACGUAGGGUGCAAGCGUUAAUCGGAAUUACUGGGCGUAAAGCGUGCGUAGGCGGUGAGUUAAGUCUGCUGUGAAAUCCCCGGGCUCAACCUGGGAAUGGCAGUGGAUACUGGCUCGCUAGAGUGUGUCAGAGGAUGGCGGAAUUCCCGGUGUAGCGGUGAAAUGCGUAGAGAUCGGGAGGAACAUCAGUGGCGAAGGCGGCCAUCUGGGACAACACUGACGCUGAGGCACGAAAGCGUGGGGAGCAAACAGGAUUAGAUACCCCCGUAGUCCCUGUCUCUUAUAC